Molecule: non-coding RNA, 167 nt
Organism: Triticum aestivum (bread wheat)
Lineage: Eukaryota; Viridiplantae; Streptophyta; Magnoliopsida; Poales; Poaceae
Source: Rfam
GAUAUACUCCCUCCGUCCGAAAAAGUUUGUCCCAAACUUGUCCCUCAAAUGGAUGUAUCUAGCACAAACUUGUCCCAAACUUUGUCCCUCAAAUGGAUGUAUCUAGCACUAAAGUGCUAGAUACAUCCAUUUGAGGGACAAGUUUUUUCGGACGGAGGGAGUACAAC